AAGUCUGAUGGAGCAACGCCGCGUGAGUGAAGAAGGCUUUCGGGUCGUAAAACUCUGUUGUUGGAGAAGAAUGGUCGGCAGAGUAACUGUUGUCGGCGUGACGGUAUCCAACCAGAAAGCCACGGCUAACUACGUGCCAGCAGCCGCGGUAAUACGUAGGUGGCAAGCGUUAUCCGGAUUUAUUGGGCGUAAAGCGAGCGCAGGCGGUUUUUUAAGUCUGAUGUGAAAGCCCUCGGCUUAACCGAGGAAGUGCAUCGGAAACUGGGAAACUUGAGUGCAGAAGAGGACAGUGGAACUCCAUGUGUAGCGGUGAAAUGCGUAGAUAUAUGGAAGAACACCAGUGGCGAAGGCGGCUGUCUGGUCUGUAACUGACGCUGAGGCUCGAAAGCAUGGGUAGCGAACAGGAUUAGAUACCCUGGUAGUCCAUGCCGUAAACGAUGAAUGCUAGGUGUUGGAGGGUUUCCGCCCUUCAGUGCCGCAGCUAACGCAUUAAGCAUUCCGCCUGGGGAGUACGACCGCAAGGUUGAAACUCAAAGGAAUUGACGGGGGCCCGCACAAGCGGUGGAGCAUGUGGUUUAAUUCGAAGCAACGCGAAGAACCUUACCAGGUCUUGACAUCUUUU
Molecule: ribosomal RNA, 622 nt
Filed under: Lacticaseibacillus rhamnosus
Lineage: Bacteria; Bacillati; Bacillota; Bacilli; Lactobacillales; Lactobacillaceae
Description: bacterial SSU rRNA
Rfam family: Bacterial small subunit ribosomal RNA
Source: RNAcentral